RNAcentral lists this ribosomal RNA (937 nucleotides) under Cortinarius sp. PDD 112894. RNAcentral's name for it is "partial large subunit ribosomal RNA". It matches the Rfam family "Eukaryotic large subunit ribosomal RNA", at positions 39 to 962 of the family's 3401-position model. The record is from RNAcentral. Lineage: Eukaryota; Fungi; Basidiomycota; Agaricomycetes; Agaricales; Cortinariaceae.
CAUAUCAAUAAGCGGAGGAAAAGAAACUAACAAGGAUUCCCCUAGUAACUGCGAGUGAAGCGGGAAAAGCUCAAAUUUAAAAUCUGGCGGUCUUUGGCUGUCCGAGUUGUAAUCUAGAGAAGUGCUAUCCGCGCUGGACCGUGUACAAGUCUCCUGGAAUGGAGCGUCAUAGAGGGUGAGAAUCCCGUCUUUGACACGGACUGCCAGGGCUUUGUGAUGUGCUCUCGAAGAGUCGAGUUGUUUGGGAAUGCAGCUCAAAAUGGGUGGUAAAUUCCAUCUAAAGCUAAAUAUUGGCGAGAGACCGAUAGCGAACAAGUACCGUGAGGGAAAGAUGAAAAGAACUUUGGAAAGAGAGUUAAACAGUACGUGAAAUUGCUGAAAGGGAAACGCUUGAAGUCAGUCGCGUUGAACAGGGAUCAACCUUGCUUUUGCUUGGUGCACUUCCUGAUUGACGGGUCAGCAUCAAUUUUGACUAUUGGAAAAAGAUCAGGGGAAUGUGACAUCUUCGGAUGUGUUAUAGCCCUUGGUUGCAUACAAUGGUUGGGAUUGAGGAACUCAGCACGCCGCAAGGCCGGGUUUUUAACCACGUACGUGCUUAGGAUGCUGGCAUAAUGGCUUUAAUCGACCCGUCUUGAAACACGGACCAAGGAGUCUAACAUGCCUGCGAGUGUUUGGGUGGAAAACCCGAGCGCGUAAUGAAAGUGAAAGUUGAGAUCCCCGUCGUAGGGAGCAUCGACGCCCGGACCAGACCUUUUGUGACGGUUCCGCGGUAGAGCAUGUAUGUUGGGACCCGAAAGAUGGUGAACUAUGCCUGAAUAGGGUGAAGCCAGGGGAAACCCUGGUGGAGGCUCGUAGCGAUUCUGACGUGCAAAUCGAUCGUCAAAUUUGGGUAUAGGGGCGAAAGACUAAUCGAACCAUCUAGUAGCUGGUUCCUGCC